RNAcentral lists this ribosomal RNA (539 nucleotides) under marine sediment bacterium BB0608_2216_6.1_2G0. RNAcentral describes it as "bacterial SSU rRNA". It matches the Rfam family "Bacterial small subunit ribosomal RNA", at positions 74 to 596 of the family's 1533-position model. The record is from RNAcentral.
GGGAGCUUGCUCCCAUUUCUCAGCGGCGGACGGGUGAGUAACACGUGGGCAACCUGCCCUACAGACUGGGAUAACUCCGGGAAACCGGAGCUAAUACCGGGUAAUACAUAGCAUCGCAUGAUGCAACGUUGAAAGUUGGCCUUUGGCUAACACUGUAGGAUGGGCCCGCGGCGCAUUAGCUAGUUGGUAAGGUAACGGCUUACCAAGGCCACGAUGCGUAGCCGACCUGAGAGGGUGAUCGGCCACACUGGGACUGAGACACGGCCCAGACUCCUACGGGAGGCAGCAGUAGGGAAUCUUCCGCAAUGGACGAAAGUCUGACGGAGCAACGCCGCGUGAGUGACGAAGGCCUUCGGGUCGUAAAGCUCUGUUGUUAGGGAAGAACAAGUACCGUUCGAAUAGGGCGGUACCUUGACGGUACCUAACCAGAAAGCCACGGCUAACUACGUGCCAGCAGCCGCGGUAAUACGUAGGUGGCAAGCGUUGUCCGGAAUUAUUGGGCGUAAAGCGCGCGCAGGCGGUCUCUUAAGUCUGAUGUG